RNAcentral lists this ribosomal RNA (524 nucleotides) under uncultured bacterium. RNAcentral's name for it is "bacterial SSU rRNA". It matches the Rfam family "Bacterial small subunit ribosomal RNA", at positions 777 to 1300 of the family's 1533-position model. The record is from RNAcentral.
AAUAGAUACCCAGGUAGUCCACGCCGUAAACGUUGGGCGCUAGAUGUGGGGACCAUUCCACGGUUUCCGCGUCGUAGCUAACGCAUUAAGCGCCCCGCCUGGGGAGUACGGCCGCAAGGCUAAAACUCAAAGGAAUUGACGGGGGCCCGCACAAGCGGCGGAGCAUGCGGAUUAAUUCGAUGCAACGCGAAGAACCUUACCAAGGCUUGACAUAUGCGAGAACGCUCUAGAAAUAGAGAACUCUUUGGACACUCGUAUACAGGUGGUGCAUGGUUGUCGUCAGCUCGUGUCGUGAGAUGUUGGGUUAAGUCCCGCAACGAGCGCAACCCUCGUCGCAUGUUGCCAGCACGUAAUGGUGGGAACUCAUGUGAGACUGCCGGGGUCAACUCGGAGGAAGGUGGGGAUGACGUCAAAUCAUCAUGCCCCUUAUGUCUUGGGCUUCACGCAUGCUACAAUGGCCGGUACAAAGGGCUGCGAAACCGCAAGGUGAGCGAAUCCCAAAAAGCCGGUCUCAGUUCGGAUUG